Molecule: long non-coding RNA, 349 nt
Organism: Melospiza georgiana
Lineage: Eukaryota; Metazoa; Chordata; Aves; Passeriformes; Passerellidae
Exons: 3
Source: RefSeq, a predicted model, not a curated record
CCUGGGCUGCUUUCUUUUAAUUCUCCCUUCCCUCCUCCUCAGAGGAGCGCAAACAAUGUUCUUUUGAUGCUUUCCUGCGAGUGGGAAUCUCGCCCUGGAGAAGGAGACAAAACUUUGCUACCUGUGAAACGAAGACUGCUUAGGUAGCAGUGGAAAUGAAAGCAAAUCUGUUUGGCCACACAGGCUCCACAAAUGAGUAACUUCAGUGGGAAUUGCUCAUGGAAAAGAGAAAGGAUCACCUGGAUUCUUCUGGAGCUGGGAGUCAGGGCCAGAAAUCUGCAGGAAGGACCUACCCAAGGAACAAGAGGAGGAUUUCACUUCUCCAGAGCUCCAUCCCACCGCGAGCUCC